RNAcentral lists this ribosomal RNA (464 nucleotides) under uncultured bacterium. Its description in RNAcentral is "partial 16S ribosomal RNA". It matches the Rfam family "Bacterial small subunit ribosomal RNA", at positions 339 to 795 of the family's 1533-position model. The record is from RNAcentral.
CUACGGGCUGCUGCAGUGGGGAAUAUUGCACAAUGGGCGCAAGCCUGAUGCAGCCAUGCCGCGUGUAUGAAGAAGGCCUUCGGGUUGUAAAGUACUUUCAGCGGGGAGGAAGGGAGUAAAGUUAAUACCUUUGCUCAUUGACGUUACCCGCAGAAGAAGCACCGGCUAACUCCGUGCCAGCAGCCGCGGUAAUACGGAGGGUGCAAGCGUUAAUCGGAAUUACUGGGCGUAAAGCGCACGCAGGCGGUUUGUUAAGUCAGAUGUGAAAUCCCCGGGCUCAACCUGGGAACUGCAUCUGAUACUGGCAAGCUUGAGUCUCGUAGAGGGGGGUAGAAUUCCAGGUGUAGCGGUGAAAUGCGUAGAGAUCUGGAGGAAUACCGGUGGCGGAGGCGGCCCCCUGGACGAAGACUGACGCUCAGGUGCAAAAGCGUGGGGAGCAAACAGGAUUAGAUACCCCCGUAGUC